UGUCGCUGAUGGAUGGACCCGCGGUGCAUUAGCUAGUUGGUGAGGUAACGGCUCACCAAGGCGACGAUGCAUAGCCGACCUGAGAGGGUGAUCGGCCACAUUGGGACUGAGACACGGCCCAAACUCCUACGGGAGGCAGCAGUAGGGAAUCUUCGGCAAUGGACGAAAGUCUGACCGAGCAACGCCGCGUGAGUGAAGAAGGUUUUCGGAUCGUAAAACUCUGUUGUUAGAGAAGAACAAGGAUGAGAGUAACUGUUCAUCCCUUGACGGUAUCUAACCAGAAAGCCACGGCUAACUACGUGCCAGCAGCCGCGGUAAUACGUAGGUGGCAAGCGUUGUCCGGAUUUAUUGGGCGUAAAGCGAGCGCAGGCGGUUUCUUAAGUCUGAUGUGAAAGCCCCCGGCUCAACCGGGGAGGGUCAUUGGAAACUGGGAGACUUGAGUGCAGAAGAGGAGAGUGGAAUUCCAUGUGUAGCGGUGAAAUGCGUAGAUAUAUGGAGGAACACCAGUGGCGAAGGCGGCUCUCUGGUCUGUAACUGACGCUGAGGCUCGAAAGCGUGGGGAGCAAACAGGAUUAGAUACCCUGGUAGUCCACGCCGUAAACGAUGAGUGCUAAGUGUUGGAGGGUUUCCGCCCUUCAGUGCUGCAGCUAACGCAUUAAGCACUCCGCCUGGGGAGUACGACCGCAAGGUUGAAACUCAAAGGAAUUGACGGGGGCCCGCACAAGCGGUGGAGCAUGUGGUUUAAUUCGAAGCAACGCGAAGAACCUUACCAGGUCUUGACAUCCUUUGACCACUCUAGAGAUAGAGCUUCCCCUUCGGGGGCAAAGUGACAGGUGGUGCAUGGUUGUCGUCAGCUCGUGUCGUGAGAUGUUGGGUUAAGUCCCGCAACGAGCGCAACCCUUAUUGUUAGUUGCCAUCAUUUAGUUGGGCACUCUAGCAAGACUGCCGGUGACAAACCGGAGGAAGGUGGGGAUGACGUCAAAUCAUCAUGCCCCUUAUGACCUGGGCUACACACGUGCUACAAUGG
RNAcentral lists this ribosomal RNA (1027 nucleotides) under Enterococcus hirae. RNAcentral describes it as "bacterial SSU rRNA". It matches the Rfam family "Bacterial small subunit ribosomal RNA", at positions 213 to 1233 of the family's 1533-position model. Lineage: Bacteria; Bacillati; Bacillota; Bacilli; Lactobacillales; Enterococcaceae. The record is from RNAcentral.